AUUGAACGCUGGCGGCAGGCCUAACACAUGCAAGUCGAGCGGAUGAAGGGAGCUUGCUCCUGGAAUCAGCGGCGCACGGGUGAGUAAUGCCUAGGAAUCUGCCUGGUAGUGGGGGAUAACGUCCGGAAACGGGCGCUAAAACCGCAUACGUCCUGCGGGAGAAAGGGGGGGAUCUUCGGACCUCACGCUACCAGAUGAUCCUAGGUCGGAUUAGCUAGUUGGUGGGGUAGAGGCCUACCAAGGCGACGAUCCGUAACUGGUCUGAGAGGAUGAUCAGUCACACUGGAACUGAGACACGGUCCAGACUCCUACGGGAGGCAGCAGUGGGGAAUAUUGGACAAGGGGCGAAAGCCUGAUCCAGCCAUGCCGCGUGUGUGAAGAAGGUCUUCGGAUUGUAAAGCACUUUAAGUUGGGAGGAAGGGCAGUAAGUUAAUACCUUGCUGUUUUGACGUUACCAACAGAAGAAGCACCGGCUAACUUCGUG
RNAcentral lists this ribosomal RNA (484 nucleotides) under uncultured bacterium. Its description in RNAcentral is "partial 16S ribosomal RNA". It matches the Rfam family "Bacterial small subunit ribosomal RNA", at positions 30 to 507 of the family's 1533-position model. The record is from RNAcentral.